AGAGUUUGAUCCUGGCUCAGAACGAACGCUGGCGGCAGGCUUAACACAUGCAAGUCGAACGCAUCCUUCGGGGUGAGUGGCAGACGGGUGAGUAACGCGUGGGAACGUGCCCUUCAGUUCGGAAUAACCCAGGGAAACUUGGGCUAAUACCGGAUACGUGCGAGAGCAGAAAGAUUUAUCGCUGAAGGAUCGGCCCGCGUCUGAUUAGCUAGUUGGUGGGGUAAUGGCCCACCAAGGCGACGAUCAGUAGCUGGUCUGAGAGGAUGAUCAGCCACAUUGGGACUGAGACACGGCCCAAACUCCUACGGGAGGCAGCAGUGGGGAAUAUUGGACAAUGGGCGCAAGCCUGAUCCAGCCAUGCCGCGUGAGUGAUGAAGGCCUUAGGGUUGUAAAGCUCUUUCAGCGGGGACGAUAAUGACGGUACCCGCAGAAGAAGCCCCGGCUAACUUCGUGCCAGCAGCCGCGGUAAUACGAAGGGGGCUAGCGUUGUUCGGAAUCACUGGGCGUAAAGGGCGCGUAGGCGGCCUGAUAAGUCGGGGGUGAAAGCCUGUGGCUCAACCACAGAAUUGCCUUCGAUACUGUCGGGCUUGAGACCGGAAGAGGUAAGUGGAACUGCGAGUGUAGAGGUGAAAUUCGUAGAUAUUCGCAAGAACACCAGUGGCGAAGGCGGCUUACUGGUCCGGUUCUGACGCUGAGGCGCGAAAGCGUGGGGAGCAAACAGGAUUAGAUACCCCCGUAGUCC
RNAcentral lists this ribosomal RNA (742 nucleotides) under uncultured Hyphomicrobiales bacterium. RNAcentral describes it as "bacterial SSU rRNA". It matches the Rfam family "Bacterial small subunit ribosomal RNA", at positions 8 to 796 of the family's 1533-position model. The record is from RNAcentral. Lineage: Bacteria; Pseudomonadati; Pseudomonadota; Alphaproteobacteria; Hyphomicrobiales.